GGUUAUGGUGCAAAUUCCACAGUCUAUCAGAUGUAAACAGUGACUUUUCUGCCUGGCUGUGAUUCAGAGUUGCUUAUUAUUUCGAUCCUGCAAUCUUUGCAGGCUCACGUACGGAAUGAGGAAAUCAAACGCUCCCAUAGAGAUGCAUUGGGAAAUUGCAUUUGAUACCUUUUGAAACGCAUGUGCAGUGGACCCUCAAUGCUAUGGAGAUCGUUAGCCAGAAGUGGUGUGAUUAUGGCUUCAUAAACAAUGUGUGUUUUUUUUUUAAAGAAUUGAGCAGUGAGACUGUAGAGCAACUAUCUACACACACACAAAAAAAAGUUUUCUUAAAGGGGCACUGUAGACACCCAGACCACGUCAGCUCAUUGAAGUGGUCUAGGUGCAAUGUCCCAUAGCCUCCUCCUGUAGAGGCUGUCUAACUCUGGUCCUUUAUCUGACGCUGGACGUCCUCACGCUCUGCAUGAGGACCUUCAGCGUCAGAUUUUUCCCCAUAGAAAAGCAGUGAUUAAUGCUUUUUUUAUGGGGAAAUCCUACUGCAAGCACAGCCAUUGCCGCGCAUUAGGUCUCUCCUGCUGGCUGACGUUGGCGGGGGAGGAGUGUGGGCUGAGCCUUACCCAGCGCCGAGGGAAAUUGGCACUAAAUUCAGGUAAGUACCGCAGGGGGGUGUGCGCGAGGGAGGGGAGCAUUGCAGUAGCCUAUAAAACAGCUUUGUUUUCCUGGCACUAUAGAAUCCCUUUAAGCCAAAGUUGUUUUGUUGUAAAUCCCCUAUCGAAAAUGUUUAAUUUCAUCCACGGAAGAGUCCAGAAUAGCUCUAAGAGCAGCUAAAUAAACAGCACUCCCUUACUGGGAAUCUGUGGAAUAUUCUGAGCAUAUUGAUGUCUCCAUUGUACAGCGCUACGGAACGUGUUGGCGCCUUAGAAAUCAUAAUAUUAAUAGGCAGUCUGUGAAAACUUAAUGUGUCCAUGUUACUGAUUGCACAGAUAGUAUUACACGGGUAGUCACACUCAUAAUGGGAGUACAACCAUUAUAGAGCCCAGACUGCUAACAUCAAUGGAUGAUGGGCGUGGUAGUCUCCAGACAGGCAGUGGGUGAUGGGCGUGGUAGUCUCCAGACAGGCAGUGGGUGAUGGGCGUGGUAGUUUCCAGACAGGCAGUGGAUGAUGGGCGUGGUAGUUUCCAGACAGGCAGUGGAUGAUGGGCGUGGUAGUCUCCAGACAGGCAGUGGGUGAUGGGCGUGGUAGUCUCCAGGCAGGCAGUGGAUGAUGGGCGUGGUAGUCUCCAGGCAGGCAGUGGAUGAUGGGCGUGAUAGUCUCCAUGGGCGUGGCACACACAGACUAGCUGGGAA
Non-coding RNA from Pelobates cultripes (western spadefoot toad), 1344 nucleotides. Lineage: Eukaryota; Metazoa; Chordata; Amphibia; Anura; Pelobatidae. The record is from the annotation of a GenBank genome assembly.